This 232-nucleotide ribosomal RNA is filed under the name Enterobacter hormaechei. RNAcentral describes it as "partial 16S ribosomal RNA". It matches the Rfam family "Bacterial small subunit ribosomal RNA", at positions 878 to 1109 of the family's 1533-position model. Lineage: Bacteria; Pseudomonadati; Pseudomonadota; Gammaproteobacteria; Enterobacterales; Enterobacteriaceae. The record is from RNAcentral.
GUUUACGGCCGCAAGGUUAAAACUCAAAUGAAUUGACGGGGGCCCGCACAAGCGGUGGAGCAUGUGGUUUAAUUCGAUGCAACGCGAAGAACCUUACCUACUCUUGACAUCCAGAGAACUUAGCAGAGAUGCUUUGCUGCCUUCGGGAACUCUGAGACAGGUGCUGAAUGGCUGUCGUCAGCUCGUGUUGUGAAAAGUUCGGUUAAGUCCCGCAACUAGCGCAACACUUAUC